This 300-nucleotide long non-coding RNA is filed under the name Gossypium barbadense (sea-island cotton). Its description in RNAcentral is "long non-coding RNA (GBAR_LNC004757)". The record is from RNAcentral. Lineage: Eukaryota; Viridiplantae; Streptophyta; Magnoliopsida; Malvales; Malvaceae.
AAUUCCAAAGUAGCAUUUGAGGUGACAGGCGGGUCAUCUCUUUUUGCAGUCCAGACAAUGGUGUUUUCUGGUCGACCAACAAGCCAUAUUCCGGCCGCAUAUCUUUCUCCUUGCCGGUAGAAACCAAAUUCGAAAUUCCCCGAAGGUGAGGCCCACGAACUAUGCUGUUUUCCGGCAUAUAGUGAAGAACCGGGUUUGAUAAUGUUUGCCUCGUCUUCUUCAGCUAUGACAUUAACAGGGAAAGAAACCAGAAGGAACAGCAAGAGAAUAAUAUUUGACGGUACAUGAGCCAUAACUAAG